Molecule: long non-coding RNA, 422 nt
Organism: Perognathus longimembris pacificus (Pacific pocket mouse)
Lineage: Eukaryota; Metazoa; Chordata; Mammalia; Rodentia; Heteromyidae
Exons: 2
Source: RefSeq, a predicted model, not a curated record
AGGAAUAUUUUGCCACUAUAUUUUAAUGAGGAAUAAGAUCUACUUCUCAGGUAAAAUUAAUCAUUCAGACUCUACUCAUGGUCUGAGCUAGAAACAGUAUUUCUUACCAAUGGAUAAGUUAAAAAUCAGAUUUAGUUACAAUCCCAACUUAGAAUUUCAUUUUUCAGUUACUCAUAGAACAAUUGGGGAGGUUGUCAAGGAAUCAAAAAUCCAUAUAGCAAGCACCAUGUGAAACCUUAAAAUGAUAUAACUGGACCUGACAGAGCAGCUUGCAAGAUACUGUUUGCUGAUUGACACUGAUCAUAAGAGCCUUCAAGGAUUUAUGAAAAAUUACUUGAAGCUCAACAUUUUGAUUGCAUUUUAUGAAUCAAGACAAAUUCAAGAAACUUUGACCAGUGGUAACUAAUCAAUAAGAUAAUGAU